Pan paniscus (pygmy chimpanzee) is the source of this 3108-nucleotide long non-coding RNA. NCBI's taxonomy places the organism in Eukaryota, Metazoa, Chordata, Mammalia, Primates, Hominidae. The record is from Ensembl.
AGGCGGCCAAGAGGAUGGCCGCCUGCCGCCCACACUUGGUAGCUGCCAACAAAGUUAGAAAAGUAGUUCGUGGAGCUUUUCGCGAGGACAAUUCAUUAUGAUUCUGUCACCCUGCUCCAAAACCCACUCCCGCCUCUCUACUCACACCCUGCCCAUUCUUGAAGUGGUGGUUCAAGCACAGACUGAGAGGAUUAUUGCGGAUGUCUUGAGCAUGGGACCAUUCUUUUUGCAUCCACCAAAUAACUAUUGUACUACUUCGCAUAUAUAAAUAUGAAAUCCAUACUGGUUCAGUGGAAUGAAGUGAGUUUCCUGUGUUUCUGUUAGGACAUCUUCUAUUACAAAAUCUAUGAGGAAAUCUAGAGGCCUCCAAGGACCUGGCUGGGCUUCAACUCUGGCUGAGUUUGAGAUGAGUAAACCAGACUGAAGGACCUUGCCCAAGGCCUGCUUCAGCUGCCAGCCACCCACACUUGCUAAGAGAAAGGAAAGUAGCUUUGUCACCUCCUGAGGGACUGCCUCUGCCAUCAGAAAACCACCCCAAUCCCUGGCACCAGCAGAGCUGGGUUGCAUCUGACUACCGUUAGCAGCUGUCCUUCAGAAGGAGGAGAUCCACCUGUCUCGAUAUCAGUGUCCUCAUUUGUGGAAUAAAAGCUCUGGAAUAAGGUAGGUGUCCUAUGGUUGGGUCAUUUGUGGAGGUGUUGGUCAGUGGCCAAGUAGGUUAUUGCACAGGGUAUGGUUGUAUUCCUAAUGUUUGUAUUGGCAUGUUUUAACAUAAGCAGAACUGAACUUCAAGAAGGAAAGAAAGAAAUCUCAAACUGUGUGCACUUUGGAGCAUCCAGGGACCACACCCCAAAACCUUUUGGUAAAUUAUAUAUGUGUGUUCCCUGAGCUCUGUAGGUGUUAAAAAUUAGGGCAAAAUCCCAGGUACCAGGAAAAGAAACAUCACGGCUUGCAGAUGAUGAGAGAGUUGCAGAAAUUGUACAGUGGUUAGGAGUUAUGGUGGGAUACAAUGUGGUUUCCAAAUGGCCAAAGUAAGAGAUCCUCAUUUUAAUCAACAUCUUAUAUAGGAACCCAACAUAUAAAACACAUAUACAACAUAUGCAAAGGGUAUUUUAUUAAUUUCUUGUAUAAGUCCAAAUUAGUAUAAAAUUAGGCAUUGAUGCUCUCAUGAUGAACCCAAAUCUGCUCAAUGGGGCUCACUAUUAGCCUCAGGAUUCCAGUUUACUUUUGUAUGUUGUUUUCAUUGUACCGUGUCAAGCAAAUUCUUGUUUGUAUAACUAAGCAGUAAUUUGUUACCCAUACAACUUUACAUUCAGCAUUUCUAGGCCAAUGUGCAGUUACAACAUUAUUAAUCAAUGACACACUUGAGCAAAGUUCAGGUAUAUGCACAGCCGGCAGGAGAGACUGAAUACUCUGGUCUGCGUUCAGUCAAGGUAACCUAGAGCAGAUUAGCUCAUUAUGAAUGUUCUUUGUGAUAAAAUUUGAAUAGAAACACAUUUGGAGAUGCAUGUUUUUGUUACAGUUUAAAAUAUACAAAAAAUAAAUAAAAGUUUAUAUCCCCAAUCAUGAGACACACAGACACCAUGAGCCUCCUGAUAUGGUCUCCUGAAAAAGACACAUAUCAUUUACCUGCUAAAAAUACGUAAAUGGAAUCUAAUCAUGAAGAAGCAUCAAACAAACUCACAUUAAGGGGCAUCCUACAAAACAAUUGACCUGUAUUCUUCAAAAAUAUCAAUGGUGUGAAAGACAAAGAGGCUGAGGCACAUCACUAUUAAAGGCAAUGGGUGAUUCUGGACUGGAUCUCCAACCAGAAAAAUGUAAAGGACAUUAUUGGGAUAAUUGGUGAAAUUCAAAUAUAGAUGCUAUGUUAGAUAGUAGGAUAGUAUCAAUGCUAGUUUUUCUGAACUUGAUCAUUUUACUGGGAUUCUGCAAGAUAAUGUCCUUGUUUCUAGCAGGUAUCUGCUAAAGUAUUUAGGAGUAAAAUGAUGUCUCGAACUGUUUGGCAAGAAUAAUAAAAAUAAUAAUAAGGAGAUGAGGAGGUGGAAGGAGGGUUUGGAUAUAUAUUGGUAGACAUAUAAAUGAUUAAAGCAAAUGAUGCAAAAUACUAACAAGUGGUAAAGUCAUUAAAAAUAUAUGGGACUUUUGAGGGAAUUUUCUUUUGUACUAUCCUCACAACUUUUCUGUAACUUUGCAAUUAGUUUGAAAUUUAUUCAUUUAUUUUGAGACGGAGUCUUGCUCUGUCGCCCAGGCUGAAGUGCAGUGACACGAUCUCGGCUCACUGCAACCUCCGCCUCCCGGGUUCAAGCGAGUCUCCUGCCUCAGCCUCCUGAGUAGCUGGGACUACAGGUGCAUGCCACCAUGCCCAGCUAAUUUUUGUGUUUUUAGUAGAAACGGGGUUUCACCAUGUUGGUCAGGCUGGUCUCAAGCUCCUGACCUCGUGAUCUGCCCACCUCAGCCUCCCAAAGUGCUGGGAUUACAGGUGUGAGCCACCACACUCAGCCUGAAAUUUAAACUUAAAAAUUAAAUAGCAAUCUAAAACUGUGCUAAAUAAAAAUUUUUAAUUUAAAAAUAUUAAAUAACACUUAGAAAUCAAAGUCACAUCAGAAUUUUGCAAACCUUCCAGAACUGAAGAACCAGCAGAUAUUUUUGAAAACCCUGGUCCAGGGUACCUCUUAGCUCUAUUUGGCAUAGAUGUGCUAGGAGAUUAUAAACACUGAACAGGUGAUUCUAAAAACAAAAAUAAUUAGAUGUCAAAUAUACCUAUAUGCCCCUGAGAAGGUGCAUCCUGUUCUCUGCCUGAAGUUCUCCCCGCCACCCCACCCCUCACUCCUAUGACCUAGCUAACUUCCGCUCAUCCCUCCGCUCUCAGUCUCAACAUCACUUCCUCCAAGAAGGCUUCCGUAAUCUCCUAAAUCAGAAUUGGCUGUUCCUCCUCUGUGCCUCCUGUAGCAUCCUGGAAGUGCUGCCCCCAUUACAGUACUAAAUGCCCUUGAGCCUACUGUCUAUCUCUCUCACUCGUUUGUAAGGGCCAUGAGGGCUGGAAGCUGUCUUUUCUGGUUUUUGAUGUAAAUGUAAUUCUGGCACCUCCUAGCAUAGUGCUAAGAGAUGAAG